UAAUUAAUAGGAACUGUACAUGUCCAUCAGGAGAUCUUCUUCGAACAGACCCGUAACUAAUCUCUCCUUUGCAGAUAGGGACAGGCAUGCUGAAGAUGCCUGAUGGAAGUGAUGUGCUAGUAACCUCUCCUUCCCAGAUAGGGCGAGGCAUAUUGCUGACUCCUGAUUGAAUGAGGUGAUUGUAAUCGUUCUUAAUAUAAAGGGGGAGGCAUCCUAAAGAAGUCUGGGGGAAGUUACCUACUAGUAAUCUCUCCUUGGCAGAUAGGGACAGGCAUGCUGAAGAUGCCUGAUGGAAGUGACGUGCUAGUAACCUCUCCUUCCAAGAUAGCAAAAGGCAUGUUGACUCCUGAUUGAGUGAGGUGAUUGUAACCGUUCUUCUCUAUAAAGGGGGAGGCAUCCUAAAGAAGUCUGGACAUGUCCAUCAACAGACCUUCUUCAAAAAGAAGAUAUGCUGGAAGUGGAUCUGGGGAACAUUGCAGAGUAGUUGAGAAAGGUAAGGAUAAGGACAGGCAUGCUGAAGAUGCCUGAACAUGCCUGAAGGAAGUGACGUGCUGGCAACCUCUCCUUCCAAGAUAGCGACAGGCAUGUUUGUGAUUCCUGAUUGAGUGAGGUGACUGUAACCACUCCUUCCUAUUAAGGGGGAGACAUCCUAAAGAUGUCUGGGGGAAGUGACCCGUAACUAAUCUCUCCUUUGCAGAUAGGGACAGGCAUGCUGAAGAUGCCUGAUGGAAGUGAUGUGCUAGUAACCUCUCCUUCCAAGAUAGCGACAGGCAUGUUGUUGACUCCUGAUUGAGAGGUGAUUGUAACCGUUCUUCUCUAUGAAGGGGGAGAUUUCCUAAAAAUGUCUGGGGGAAGGGACCCGUUAGUAAUCUCUCUUUUGCAGAUAGGGACAGGCAUGCUGAAGAUGCCUGAUGGAAGUGACGUGCUGGUAACCUCUCCUUCCAAGAUAGCGACAGGCAUGUUGUUGACUCCUGAUUGAGAGGUGAUUGUAACCGUUCUUCUCUAUGAAGGGGGAGAUUUCCUAAAAAUGUCUGGGGGAGUGGACCCGUUAGUAAUCUCUCUUUUGCAGAUAGGGACAGGCAUGCUGAAGAUGCCUGAUGGAAGUGACGUGCUGGUAACCUCUCCUUCCCAGAUAUGGAUAUCUAAAUAGUCUUACCAUAUAUAGUGUGGGAUUAAAGGAUAAUGGUGAGUAUCUGAGUAAGGAUAACAUUAGGAAUUAAACUAAGGUUGCUCAGAUUGUGGUAUGAAAUACCAAAUAUUGGCUUGUAGUGAGUUUGGCAAUGUGCUUGUCAAUCUGGUCAGAACUGGAAGGAUUUGCCUUCUUGAGGUGAGAAUAGCAAACAUAACAAGAAUGUCUUUCCAGGGAAAUGGACAUUUACAGUCAUAAUGAGUGAGAAACAUACAUGUGCUGUAGGCAUACAGCCAAGAACCUGAAUAGGGCCAAUAGCGAUGAAAGAUUCAUGGAAAAAGAAAUGAGCUGGAACCAUCGACAAUCAGAAUUCUGGUAAUGCCAGGACACCAUAAUUUCUACAAAACUACCACUUCUACUGAUUGCGACUGUCUCAGAAUAUUUGACAGUUAAUUAUGACGUACCACAUCUGACUUAGAGACUAAAGAUAGAGAUAUGGCACAUAUAAUGAGUAGGAACUGACCAUGUCCAUCAACAGAUCUUCUUCAAUCAGAAGAUAUGCUGAAAGGGGAUCUGGGGAACAUUGCAGAGUAGUUCAGAAACCUAAGGAUAGGGAGAGGCAUGCUGAAGAUGCCUGAUGGAAGUGAUGUGCUAGUAACCUCUCCUUCCCAGAUAGGGCGAGGCAUAUUGUUGACUCCUGAUUGAAUGAGGUGAUUGAAACCUUUGCCUCCUAUAAAGGAGAAGGCAUCCUAAAGAUGUCUGGGGGAAGUGACCCAGUACUAAUAUCUC
Girardinichthys multiradiatus is the source of this 1918-nucleotide long non-coding RNA. RefSeq lists it as uncharacterized. Lineage: Eukaryota; Metazoa; Chordata; Actinopteri; Cyprinodontiformes; Goodeidae. The record is from RefSeq and is a predicted model, not a curated record. The transcript is spliced from 2 exons.